RNAcentral lists this ribosomal RNA (433 nucleotides) under uncultured bacterium. RNAcentral describes it as "partial 16S ribosomal RNA". It matches the Rfam family "Bacterial small subunit ribosomal RNA", at positions 29 to 507 of the family's 1533-position model. The record is from RNAcentral.
AACGAACGCUGGCGGCAUGCCUAACACAUGCAAGUCGAACGAGACCUUCGGGUCUAGUGGCGCACGGGUGCGUAACGCGUGGGAACCUGCCCUUAGGUUCGGAAUAACUCCCCGAAAGGGGUGCUAAUACCGGAUAAUGUCUUCGGACCAAAGAUUUAUCGCCUUUGGAUGGGCCCGCGUUGGAUUAGCUAGUUGGUAGGGUAAAAGCCUACCAAGGCGACGAUCCAUAGCUGGUCUGAGAGGAUGAUCAGCCACACUGGGACUGAGACACGGCCCAGACUCCUACGGGAGGCAGCAGUGGGGAAUAUUGGACAAUGGGCGAAAGCCUGAUCCAGCACUGCCGCGUGAGUGAUGAAGGCCUUAGGGUUGUAAAGCUCUUUUACCCGGGAUGAUAAUGUCAGUACCGGGAGAAUAAGCUCCGGCUAACUCCGUG